RNAcentral lists this ribosomal RNA (385 nucleotides) under uncultured bacterium. RNAcentral's name for it is "bacterial SSU rRNA". It matches the Rfam family "Bacterial small subunit ribosomal RNA", at positions 145 to 507 of the family's 1533-position model. The record is from RNAcentral.
AACAGCUGGAAACGGCUGCUAAUACCGAAUACGUUCUUUUUGUCGCAUGACAGAGAGAAGAAAGGGAGGCUCUUCGGAGCUUUCGCUGAAGGAGGGGCUUGCGUCUGAUUAGCUAGUUGGAGGGGUAACGGGCCCACCAAGGCGACGAUCAGUAGCCGGUCUGAGAGGAUGAACGGCCACAUUGGGACUGAGACACGGCCCAGACUCCUACGGGAGGGCAGCAGUGGGGAAUAUUGGGCAAUGGGGGAAACCCUGACCCAGCAACGCCGCGUGAAGGAAGAAGGCCUUCGGGUUGUAAAGUUCUGUUAUACGGGACGAAUGGCGUAGCGGUCAAUACCCGUUACGAGUGACGGUACCGUAAGAGAAAGCCACGGCUAACUACGUG